Molecule: ribosomal RNA, 492 nt
Filed under: uncultured bacterium
Lineage: Bacteria
Description: partial 16S ribosomal RNA
Rfam family: Bacterial small subunit ribosomal RNA
Source: RNAcentral
AGUGAACGCUGGCGGUAGGCCUAACACAUGCAAGUCGAACGGCAGCACAGUAAGAGCUUGCUCUUACGGGUGGCGAGUGGCGGACGGGUGAGGAAUACAUCGGAAUCUACUUUUUCGUGGGGGAUAACGUAGGGAAACUUACGCUACUACCGCAUACGACCUACGGGUGAAAGCAGGGGAUCUUCGGACCUUGCGCGAUUGAAUGAGCCGAUGUCGGAUUAGCUAGUUGGCGGGGUAAAGGCCCACCAAGGCGACGAUCCGUAGCUGGUCUGAGAGGAUGAUCAGCCACACUGGAACUGAGACACGGCCCAGACUCCUACGGGAGGCAGCAGUGGGGAAUAUUGGACAAUGGGCGCAAGCCUGAUCCAGCCAUACCGCGUGGGGGAAGAAGGCCUUCGGGUUGUAAAGCCCUUUUGUUGGGAAAGAAAAGCAGCAGGUUAAUACCCCGCUGUUCUGACGGUACCCAAAGAAUAAGCACCGGCUAACUUCGUG